GACGGAGGGGGCUAGCGUUGUUCGGAAUGACUGGGCGUAAAGGGCGCGUAGGCGGUUUUUUAAGUUGGGCGUGAAAGCCCCAGGCUUAACCUGGGAACUGCGCUUGAUACUGGAAGACUAGAGGACGAGAGAGGAAAGUGGAAUUCCGAGUGUAGAGGUGAAAUUCGUAGAUAUUCGGAGGAACAUCAGAGGCGAAGGCGGCUUUCUGGCUCGUAUCUGACGCUGAGGCGCGAAAGCGUGGGGAGCAAACAGG
Molecule: ribosomal RNA, 253 nt
Filed under: uncultured bacterium
Lineage: Bacteria
Description: partial 16S ribosomal RNA
Rfam family: Bacterial small subunit ribosomal RNA
Source: RNAcentral